UGGCUGUCUCCACAGAGGGCUGGCACUGGACCCUGCCUGGGGCACCCCACUUGAACCCCUACUCCCGGCCUCAGCUCUGGGACUCUGAACCCAGCACCUGCAAAGAGCCUGGCUGUGGGGACCCUUGGCUGCAGCAUCACAUUUAACCCUCCUUGGAAUGCUACAGGCAGCAUCCAGCAGACGGGAAGACAGAUGAUGCUGGAG
This 204-nucleotide long non-coding RNA is filed under the name Homo sapiens (human). RNAcentral's name for it is "PREDICTED lncRNA (TCONS_00103641)". The record is from RNAcentral. Lineage: Eukaryota; Metazoa; Chordata; Mammalia; Primates; Hominidae.